AAGUUUGGUUAGUGUUUCGGAGUCAAAUAUGACUUGAUGUCAUGUAUAUGAUUGAUUAUAACAACUAGAACUGUAACCGGAUCUUAAAAGCGUAAGUAGGGUUUUCUUGUUAGUAGAUACAAAGACAAAGACUCAUACGGAGUUUAGCUACACCAUAAAAGCUUUGAGAAGCAAGAAUAAGCUUGGUUAGUGUUUUGGAGUCAAAUAUGACUAGAUGUCAUGUGUAUGAGUGAGUAUAACAAGUAGAACCGCAACCUGAUCUUAAAAGCCUAUGUAUGGUACCCUUGUUAGAAGAUACAAAGACAAAGACUCAUACGGAAUUCGACUACACCAUCAAUGUUUUGAGAAGCAAGAAGAAGCUUGGUUAGUGUUUUGGAGUCAAAUAUAAAUUGAUGUCAUGUGUAUGAUUGAGUAUAAGAACUUAAACCGCAACCGGAUCUUAAAAGCCUAAGUAGUGUUUUCUUGUUAGUAGAUACAAAGACAAAGACUCAUACGGACUUCAGCUACACCAUCAAAGCUUUGAGAAAGAAGAAGCGGCUUGGUUAGUGUUUUGGAGUCAAAUAUCACUAGAUGUCAUGUGUAUGAGUGAGUAUAAAAACUAGAACCGCAACCUGAUCUUAGAAUCCUAAGUAUUGUAUCCUUGUUAGAAGAUACAAAGGCAAAGACUCAUACGGACUUCGGCUACAACAUCAAAUCUUUGAGAAGCAAGAAGAAGCCUGGUUAGUGUUUUCGAGUCGAAUAUGACUUGAUGUGAUGUGUAUGAUUGAGUAUAAGAAUAUGAACCGCACGCAGAUCUUAAAAGCCUAAGUAGUGUUUCCUUUUUAGAAGAUACAAAGCCAAAGACUUAUACGGAGUUUGGCUACACCAUCAAAGCUUUGAGAAGCAAGAUGAAGCAUGGUUAGUGUUUUGGAGUCAAAUAUGACUUGAUGUCAUGUGUAUGAGUGAGUAUAACAACUAGAACCGCAAUCGGAUCUUAAAAGCCUAAGUAUUGUGUCCUUGUUAGAAGAUACAAAGACAAAGACUCAUCCGGACUUUGGCUACACCAUCAAAGCUUUGAGAAGCAAGAAGAAGCUUGGUUAGUGUUUUGUAGUCAAAUAUGACUUGAUUUUAUGUUUAUGAUUGAGUAUAAGAACUUAAACAGCAACCUGAUCUUAAAAGCCUAAGUAGUGUUUCCUUGUUAGUAGAUACAAAGACAACGACACAAUCUGACUUCAGCUACACCAUCAAAGCUUUGAGAAGCAAGAAGAGGCUUGGUUAGUGUUUUGGAGUCAAAUAUGACUAAAUGUCAUGUGUAUGAGUGAGUAUAACAACUAGAACCGCAACCGCAUCUUAAAAGCCUAAGUAUUAUAUCCUUGUUAGAUUAUACAAUACAAAGACUCAUAUGGCCUUCAGCUACACCAUCAAAACUUUGAGAAGCAAGAACAAACAUUGUUAGUGUUUUGGAGUUAAAUAUGACUAGAUAUCAUGUGUAUGAGUGAGUAUAACAACUAGAAUCUCAACCAGAUCUUAAAAGCCUAAGUAUUGUAUCCUUGUUAGAAGAUACAAAGACAAAACUCAUACGGACUUCCGCUACACAAUCAAAGCUUUGAGAAUCAAAAAGAAGCUUGGUUAGUGUUUUGGGGUCGAAUAUGACUUGAUGUGAUGUGUUUGAUUGAGUAUAAGAACUUAAACCGCAACCGGAUCUUAAAAGUCUAAGUAGUGUUUCCGUGUUCGAAGAUACAAAGCCAAAGCAUCAUACGU
Molecule: small RNA, 1740 nt
Filed under: Arabidopsis thaliana (thale cress)
Lineage: Eukaryota; Viridiplantae; Streptophyta; Magnoliopsida; Brassicales; Brassicaceae
Description: ATSL271890
Source: RNAcentral